CCUACAUUCUCAAUCGUCUAAAUAUUAUGGAUUCAGAAGAAUUUUUGCUUGGUAAUUUGCCUUAUUGCAUCAUAGAUUUCCAAACUGUCAAAAUAUUUAAUCUUAAGUGAUAAUUUAUUAGUAGUUAUGUAAAGAAUGUUGAAUAUAAGCCAAAUGAAGAUUUUUUUUUGUUUGUUUUUGUUUUUGUUUUUUUCCGGAGCUGGGGACUGAACCCAGGGCCUUGCGCUUGCUAGGCAAGCGCUCUACCGCUGAGCUAAAUCCCCAACCCCGCGAAGAUUUUUUUUUUUAAGCACACACAUAGCCCAUUCUUUAGGCACCAUGCCUCAUGGGUAGCUAUCACAGUGGGACUGUAGCCAUCACAAUGAGACUAAGGAUUGCCCUAUGAUAGUGUGAUAGAAGACAGAGGGACACCAGCAACAAAGAUGUCUCAGAGCAGGCAUUUUACAUCUUUACUAUUAGGGACUUUCGGGCUGUCUUGUAGGGUAUGUGUAGAGACUGAGUUUACCACAAAGAUCACAUGGCACUCUGCACAAUGAAGUCUUAUUCAGGAAAUGCUGAGGAAGCUUUAAAAAAGUGCUUUUGCCAUAAAUGUCACACAUCAAGUGUCAUGUGAUUCACAUUAUUCUUGUUAAUGCCUCACUAACAAGUAACUGAAGAUAUUCAUGACAUAGCAGAGAAAUUUUGAGGAAAAAAAUGUCCUUAUGUGACACCUCUUAAAGUAAACUCUAAUGGGAAAACCAAGACUUCAUAGAAGUUGUAUCUUUUGCUAUAGGGCUCAUAUGGGGAUCAUCACCCGUUGUGUAUUCUGUUUCAUUUUCUUGAUCUGAUUCUCUGAUAUAAUGAAUUCAUGACUGUCUUUGGGUGCCCUUGUGGUGGUUUGGAUAUCCUUAGCCCAGGGAAUGGUACUACUAGGAAGUAUGACCUUUUUGGAGGAAGUAUGCCACUGUGGGGUUGGGCUUUGAGAGACCUUCCGGUUAGUUGCCUGGAAGCCAGUCUUCUCCUGUUUGCCUUUACACUGAGAUGUAGAGCUUUCGGCUAUUUUAGUGUCAUGCCUGCCUAGAUGCUGCCAUGUUCACACACUGAUGAUAAUGGAUUGAACCUCUGAACCUACAAGCUGGUUCCAGUUAGAUGUCCCUUAGAAGAGUUACCUCCUUGCUCAUCGUGUCUCUUCAUAGUAAUGGAAACCCAAAUUACAUCAUCAUCAUCAUCACCAUCAUCACCACCACCACCACUACCAUCAUCAUUGUUCUAUUUGGCUUUUCUACCAUGCUUAGUAAGCACUAGUAAACAUGAAACCAACCUGUUAUUUUCUCUAAUACUAAUUUUUAGGAGGAAAAGGCAGCAGAAAUAAUUUUUAAACUGAUAAAUCACUUUUUUUUUCUCAUUUUACCUUCUUCUGUGAGUGAUUAUAAAGAUUUAGUAGGACAGUAAUGUGACAUGGAAUGAGUAGUCCAGGCCUCUUAAAUUAGAUAGUCAAAGAGCUUUCAAAGAAGGACAUAGACAGCAUAUGCAGGCAUAGCAUUCAAUUAAGAAUGACUAUGCUCUUAUCCUAUUCAGAUUCUUUUACUUAAAUGUUCCAAAAAGUGCAGAAAACACAUAGAAUUGCCAUUUUAGUCUGAUCAGGAGGUAUUACUGUUUGCAUUCUAAGAUUCUCAUGAACUCAGAAGCUUAGCAAUCACUAGGAAGAGAUCAGUGAACCCAGAGGGAGCAUAGCUAAUUAUCUGUCUCACUGAAACAUUCCUUCCUUUGUGCAAAAUCAACUAGGGAUCUAUGGGCUUUGAAUACAUCAUCAAAUGAUGUGUGAAAGAGAUUCAAGUUCAACAAUAAAUAUCAUCAGCAAUAUAAUGCUUUUAAGCCCUAGGGGCCAAAUGACCUGAAUUUGUGUAAAUUGAUUUUGUUCAUGCAUUGUGUUAAGCCAAGCAAUUAUUUUCCAAGACAUGCUUGAGCCCAUGUUUGCUCUGUCUAUAAAGUUCAUGUUUGCAUUUUUCCAAUUGCUGAUUGCAAUCCCCCUUUACUUUAAUAUUAAGUACUCCUUAAAAAAAUAAGCAAUGGAUUUUAUACAUAGAAUACAAUCAUAACCAUUCAAUGUCACCCAUAAACAUCUGAUGAAUUGGCUAAUCCAGUUAUGAGUUUUACUUAUUUGAAACACAGUCAGGACAAGUCUUAACUGAGCUAAUUCAAUGAUAGACCAUGGCACUAAGCAAUGGGCACUCCCCUCCUUGUAUUAGUUAUGCAUGCUCUUUGAUCCAAGUGACCAUUUGUGUCCUUACCAUAAUCUUAAUCAACUUGUCAAGAUAAUAGAGGUCCUGGAGAGUUCAGAGAAGGCAUUUUAUAAUUCAUACACGUUCCAAGAAAGUACAAUGCAGAGUUUGUAAGAUGCACAUAUCCAUAGAGAGAGCAGUGAAAGUUGGGGGAGGCCUAUAUGCUUUAGAAAGGGUGGAGUUUACGCUCAGAUUGAGGGGAGAGGCUCAGGUUCUGAAAUGUGGUAGUAGAAGGGUGAGUAAAAUACGCAAGGACAAGUCCAAGGCAUGCAGCUUGAAGGAGAACAAGGGAAGAUAAACCCAAGAUGAUAAUAAAGUCUGAAUGAGUGGCAGAGUGGCUCCGCAGCUUGCUUUCAGCAAACCCCACAUCUCUAUUUGUUCCAGGCAGACAAAUCUAGGUUACAAGGGGGAAAGUUACUUAUCAUCCUCUGUGAAAGUCUACCAGACUUGCUUAGUAGUAAGAAAAGGCUUAUAAUUGCUUCUCCAAACCUUUCUGGUGGGCUGUACUUUUCAGCCCUUCUGCAGCCUGCUGAUUUCUGAACAAAGGAUUCUGUUCCAUCAAUGACCCAUUAAAUUAACCUUUGAUGGCUCAUAGCCCCAUGUUCUACUCACAUUCAGUGUAGCCAGGAAGUUAAUGAAUCAACCCCCUGAAAGCAAGAUGCACUCUUUGUGUAAAUUAUGUUUCAGCUUGUAGGGGAUUUUGAGUUCUUAAAGUGUGACUCUUGUCCUGUCAUCUGUGCACCUAGUUAACAGAUAUUCACUGUGGAUCCCCCCUAUACCAGACUAGGUCCCUGCUCCCGAGGCUUUACAAUGCACUUGGGAGAUGCUGCUGUUGCAUAUAAACUAAUAAGUAUCAUGAGUGAGUUGUUAAGAUUGUAACAGGCAUCCUAAUAAGGAGCUACUUGAGCAAGGACGGAAGAAUAGUUAUUUUAGCUAUAUGUAGGAAGAGAAGGAAGAGAAGGAAGAAGGGUGAGAACGACCUAUGAUUUGGAUAAACAUCCAGAUAUACAUCGAGGGGAGCUGAUAUCAGACAUUGCAGGCAGAAAACAAUUUGUACAAAGGGUCUGAGGUAGGGGAACCAAUGCUAGUUUAGCAAAAGCAAGUUAUACCUAGAGGAGACUUAUUACUGGCAUAGAAGUGUGCAGGGCCCAACAAAGAGGCUGAAGAAAUCCCUUUGGAUCACAAUGUUGUAAAUAAGCAAGCAAACAGGAAAGGGAAACAGACAUUACAGAUGGUUGGCAUGAAGCGUUGAGCCUGACAGCUGUUCCUAAGAGCAGUAGCAUUUGAAUCGUAGAGAUAAGAGAUGGAUUGGGUCAGAAGGUUCAAACUUAAAAGGCUUUGGAACCAGCAUUGUUCCUGUUGACCUCUCUCAUUCCGCAUUUGUAGGAAAGACUUUAAUGCUCAGUGGGAGGAAACACGAUAAAGACAUGGAGACACAGCCCAUGUGUGGGAUGUCAGUGUAUGUAAGCCACAGAAUUGUGUGAGCACUACUGACCUAUGGCAUGAGGGACACGCUUAGCGGCAUUCCAUCUCAUUAAAAUUUUUUUUUCAGACAAAAAUCAAGUACCUCAUUAAAAAGUACAUUGCAGGGAAUAACAAAACACACGUGAGGAGGCAAGCAACUCGCAGAUCAUUGAUAUGCAAUGCUGAGCUAGAAGAGACAGGAAGAAGCUGGAACUGGAAAAACUCAAUAGAAGACAGUCUCAUUAAAGUCAAGAAAGACUUAUGUCUUGUAUUUCUAAGAACUAAAGAAAAGAUGAAGGUUUUGUUAGGCACUUGUUCAAGUGCCACAAUACUAAUCAGAAAAAGGCACUAUUUGUUACCGAGCUUAAGCUUCUACAAGGGGAGAUAAAUGAGAGAAUGGGUCAGGUGUGGAAAGGCAGAACCAUGUGGUCUCUGUACCAAUUGUACACAUGCUUCCAAACAAUCGUGACCCGAAGGGUUGCAGAGUUAGGACUCUUGUCCUUUCACACCAAGGUCAAUCUAUCUGUUAGAAGUUCUUUCCCACAUGUGAUUUAUUCUCUUUUGAUGUUGACACCUGCCUCUUUAUAGCUUGAUUUUGCUAGAUCUUUCCUUAGAGACCACAAAAAAUAUUAUCCCACAUAAACACAUUUAGAGCCUUUAACCGUUUUCCCAAAAUGUUUGAUAUUUAGAAACAAUGACUGUGUCUUCCUUUCCACAUCCUUCUCCUCAAUCUCCAUACCUUUUCUCUGUUUCUAGAACUUGCCAUCUUGCACCUCUUAUGUGAGUCAUCUCCCAUCAUCACUAUUUGCCUCAAAAUUGUGUUCACAAAGAAUAUAACUUGAUGAGCGGACUGAACCUAGGACUUCUUUAGGUUGUAUUUCACACAGCAUAAGCAGAUGCCAGAAGAUUCUCCUGGGGACAAGACCCUAGAAAUGAUUGCACAGUCCUUGUUGAUUCAUGCAAUAUUGAUUUGACAUUUGUAUCUUUGGACGGAAAGAUCCAAAAAUCACACAGCUUCUAAAAUGUUCAGGAGAUUCAGGUUACACACAUGUCAUUUAAAUCAAUGUACUUUCUGUUCAGGAUAACUCAAAAGUUCCACUUUGAACACAUUUUGUCAAUUCAGGAUUCAUUGGAGAGACAAGUUGAGUCUACAGUGAUGCUUUCCUGGAGGCCAAUUACUGUCCACUGCUUCUUGCUAGAUUAUUUUUCAGAGGAAGAUGAUGUUCACCUUCAGAAACUACAUCUGAAAUCUCUUGAGAAUAAAGAAGCACAAAACAAGAGGGAACAACUUGGUGGCAUACGGGAGUUUGAGGGAAAUGCCAGAGUCUAUUACAUGCUCUGUGGAAUUAUUCAUCAGUGUCAGUUUGGGUUGUAGUUAGUCAGUGCUUUGAAAUGACAGUAUGUCUUAAGAGAUGGCUGCUGUGACUCUGGAAUUGACAGGAGAGAAGACCUGGCCGGCAAAGAAGUGCAUAAGUAACCAGCAAAUUAGUGAAAGGAAGAAGUAGAGUGGGGCAAAUCAAGAGCAGCAGCAUUAAAUAACAAUUAUACAAAUGUAA
Non-coding RNA from Rattus norvegicus (Norway rat), 5281 nucleotides. Lineage: Eukaryota; Metazoa; Chordata; Mammalia; Rodentia; Muridae. The record is from RefSeq and is a predicted model, not a curated record.